UCUGAGCCACAGUACAUUGUGUUAGUUUCCUACCAGGAUGGUGCAUCUCUUCAAACAGCUCCCUGGCUGCACCCAUUGUUUGAUUGCAAUCACUUUUUCCUCGUCUGCCAAGAUGGCUGAUGUCAUAGGGCGCUAUGCGUUCUCCUUCUGUUCUACAUCGUUCACUUCUCACUGGCUGCAGAGCCGUUUCCACAUUCCAAGAUGCGGAAGUUUCCACUGCUGCCAUGAACUGGCACUGUUCACCUGACUCCAAAUACAGAGAUUCUACACUGGAUGCAAACACUGGAAUACCGUGUUUGUUUUGGACAUAAAGAAGAGGUCCUUUUGUCUUCAGUCGGAUCACCUCUGAUGAAAUAUCACUAUUCAAGGCCAACCUGCAAGACUUUGUUCCAAAUCACACAGCAGCCAUCUGUUGGCAACAACACGGUCCUUUGCGGUUUGUUGAACGUAACCUCUCCUGAUCUUUGUUUGCAUGACUUACAAUGGGGUUGGAUUGUAGUCACUGUGGAUUAUGUUUAUACCUUGCAUCCUGUACUGAGAACAUGCAAAUGGAGUAGUAUAGAAUGUGAAGAUGAUCCUCAAUAAAAGCAAAGUUCUUUGUAUUCUCUU
Molecule: long non-coding RNA, 609 nt
Organism: Cyclopterus lumpus (lumpfish)
Lineage: Eukaryota; Metazoa; Chordata; Actinopteri; Perciformes; Cyclopteridae
Exons: 3
Source: RefSeq, a predicted model, not a curated record